AGAUUAGUGAGUUGUCCUAAGACUUUUUGUUCUGAGCUCCAUUGAAUAAAAGAUGAGAACAAAAUGAUAAUAAUAAUAAUUAUAAUAAACUCUCAUUUCUGAUACUCUUUAAGGUUUACAAAGCAUUUUCUGUACAACAAUCAUGUGUGACAUGGUAGUCCAAGUAUUCCUGUUUUACAGAUUUGGAAACUGAGGCCAGGAGAGAGCCAAUAACUUAAAACGAGGCAUACCCACAUCGUUCAUCACUUUCCCCUUCCUACCAUUUUUUUACAGAGGAAUGAGGCUGUUAAUAUCAAAGCAAGAACUGGGGAGUUCAUCCAUAGUGAAAUGGGAGCUGGAGAAGAGGCUGGUGACACACAGAAAGAC
RNAcentral lists this long non-coding RNA (366 nucleotides) under Phascolarctos cinereus (koala). Its description in RNAcentral is "lncRNA (ENSPCIG00000034075.1)". The record is from RNAcentral. Lineage: Eukaryota; Metazoa; Chordata; Mammalia; Diprotodontia; Phascolarctidae.